UAUUAGUCACUAAAGCUAUACACAAACAAAGAAAAUAUAAUAUGUAGAUUGUAGGUACUACAUAGGUCUGGCUAUUUUUUUAAGGAGGUUUUCUGUGCCCAAAUGCCUCGUAAACAUAUAGCAAAGUACAUUGGUCAACUUCAAUACGUAGAGUCCGAUUUUUCUUGCUAUGUGUGUCCACUAGAAAAAUAUUAUAUCUAUUAUUCCAAAACUAAAUCCAUACAUUUUGUAACAAAAUUGUAUAGGUACUUUAUGCAGGAAAUACUCACACUGAUGGGAGGAAGAGAAAACG
This is a non-coding RNA of Cinara cedri, 292 nucleotides long. NCBI's taxonomy places the organism in Eukaryota, Metazoa, Arthropoda, Insecta, Hemiptera, Aphididae. The record is from the annotation of a GenBank genome assembly.